This 393-nucleotide ribosomal RNA is filed under the name uncultured bacterium. Its description in RNAcentral is "partial 16S ribosomal RNA". It matches the Rfam family "Bacterial small subunit ribosomal RNA", at positions 523 to 918 of the family's 1533-position model. The record is from RNAcentral.
AUACGGAGGAUGCGAGCGUUAUCCGGAUUUAUUGGGUUUAAAGGGCGCGUAGGCGGCCUUUCAAGUCUGAAGUGAAAUUCCCGUUUUUAAGAUGGGAACUGCUUUGGAAACUGUAAGGCUUGAGUGCAGGAGAGGUCAGUGGAAUUCCCAGUGUAGCGGUGAAAUGCGUAGAGAUUGGGAGGAACACCAGUGGCGAAGGCGACUGACUGGACUGUAACUGACGCUGAGGCACGAAAGCGUGGGGAUAGAACAGGAUUAGAUACCCUGGUAUUCCACGCCGUAAACGAUGAUGACUAACCGUCGGCGAUAGACAGCCGGUGGCCAAGCGAAAGCGAUAAGUCAUCCACCUGGGGAGUACGUCGGCAACGAUGAAACUCAAAUGAAUUGGCGGGG